Molecule: ribosomal RNA, 1029 nt
Filed under: Escherichia coli
Lineage: Bacteria; Pseudomonadati; Pseudomonadota; Gammaproteobacteria; Enterobacterales; Enterobacteriaceae
Description: partial 23S ribosomal RNA
Rfam family: Bacterial large subunit ribosomal RNA
Source: RNAcentral
GCCCAGAGCCUGAAUCAGUGUGUGUGUUAGUGGAAGCGUCUGGAAAGGCGCGCGAUACAGGGUGACAGCCCCGUACACAAAAAUGCACAUGCUGUGAGCUCGAUGAGUAGGGCGGGACACGUGGUAUCCUGUCUGAAUAUGGGGGGACCAUCCUCCAAGGCUAAAUACUCCUGACUGACCGAUAGUGAACCAGUACCGUGAGGGAAAGGCGAAAAGAACCCCGGCGAGGGGAGUGAAAAAGAACCUGAAACCGUGUACGUACAAGCAGUGGGAGCACGCUUAGGCGUGUGACUGCGUACCUUUUGUAUAAUGGGUCAGCGACUUAUAUUCUGUAGCAAGGUUAACCGAAUAGGGGAGCCGAAGGGAAACCGAGUCUUAACUGGGCGUUAAGUUGCAGGGUAUAGACCCGAAACCCGGUGAUCUAGCCAUGGGCAGGUUGAAGGUUGGGUAACACUAACUGGAGGACCGAACCGACUAAUGUUGAAAAAUUAGCGGAUGACUUGUGGCUGGGGGUGAAAGGCCAAUCAAACCGGGAGAUAGCUGGUUCUCCCCGAAAGCUAUUUAGGUAGCGCCUCGUGAAUUCAUCUCCGGGGGUAGAGCACUGUUUCGGCAAGGGGGUCAUCCCGACUUACCAACCCGAUGCAAACUGCGAAUACCGGAGAAUGUUAUCACGGGAGACACACGGCGGGUGCUAACGUCCGUCGUGAAGAGGGAAACAACCCAGACCGCCAGCUAAGGUCCCAAAGUCAUGGUUAAGUGGGAAACGAUGUGGGAAGGCCCAGACAGCCAGGAUGUUGGCUUAGAAGCAGCCAUCAUUUAAAGAAAGCGUAAUAGCUCACUGGUCGAGUCGGCCUGCGCGGAAGAUGUAACGGGGCUAAACCAUGCACCGAAGCUGCGGCAGCGACGCUUAUGCGUUGUUGGGUAGGGGAGCGUUCUGUAAGCCUGUGAAGGUGUGCUGUGAGGCAUGCUGGAGGUAUCAGAAGUGCGAAUGCUGACAUAAGUAACGAUAAAGCGGGUGAAAAGCCCGCU